This 467-nucleotide ribosomal RNA is filed under the name uncultured bacterium. RNAcentral's name for it is "partial 16S ribosomal RNA". It matches the Rfam family "Bacterial small subunit ribosomal RNA", at positions 29 to 507 of the family's 1533-position model. The record is from RNAcentral.
ACGCACGCUGGCGGCGUGCUUAACAUAUGCCAGUCGAACGGAAAGGCCCUGCUUUUGUGGGGUGCUCGAGUGGCGAACGGGUGAGUAACACGUGAGUAACCUGCCCUUGACUUUGGGAUAACUUCAGGAAACUGGGGCUAAUACCGGAUAGGAGCUCCUGCUGCAUGGUGGGGGUUGGAAAGUUUCGGCGGUUGGGGAUGGACUCGCGGCUUAUCAGCUUGUUGGUGGGGUAGUGGCUUACCAAGGCUUUGACGGGUAGCCGGCCUGAGAGGGUGACCGGCCACAUUGGGACUGAGAUACGGCCCAGACUCCUACGGGAGGCAGCAGUGGGGAAUAUUGCACAAUGGGCGGAAGCCUGAUGCAGCAACGCCGCGUGCGGGAUGACGGCCUUCGGGUUGUAAACCGCUUUCGCCUGUGACGAAGCGUGAGUGACGGUAAUGGGUAAAGAAGCACCGGCUAACUACGUG